RNAcentral lists this ribosomal RNA (498 nucleotides) under uncultured bacterium. RNAcentral describes it as "partial 16S ribosomal RNA". It matches the Rfam family "Bacterial small subunit ribosomal RNA", at positions 899 to 1397 of the family's 1533-position model. The record is from RNAcentral.
ACUCAAAUGAAUAGACGGGGGCCCGCACAAGCGGCGGAGCAUGUGGAUUAAUUCGAUGCAACGCGAAGAACCUUACCUGGGUUUGACAUGCACCAGACGCUGCCGGAGACGGUAGUUCCCUUGUGGUUGGUGUGCAGGUGGUGCAUGGCUGUCGUCAGCUCGUGUCGUGAGAUGUUGGGUUAAGUCCCGCAACGAGCGCAACCCUCGUUCCAUGUUGCCAGCGGGUUAUGCCGGGGACUCAUGGGAGACUGCCGGGGUCAACUCGGAGGAAGGUGGGGAUGACGUCAAGUCAUCAUGCCCCUUAUGUCCAGGGCUUCACACAUGCUACAAUGGCUCAUACAGAGGGCUGCGAGACCGUGAGGUGGAGCGAAUCCCUUAAAGUGAGUCUCAGUUCGGAUCGGGGUCUGCAACUCGACCCCGUGAAGUCGGAGUCGCUAGUAAUCGCAGAUCAGCAACGCUGCGGUGAAUACGUUCCCGGGCCUUGUACACACCGCCCGU